UACAGAGGGUGCGAGCGUUAAUCGGAAUUACUGGGCGUAAAGCGCGCGUAGGCGGCUUUGCAAGUCGGGUGUGAAAUCCCCAGGCCUAACCUGGGAACUGCACUCGAGACUGCAUGGCUAGAGUAUCGGAGAGGGAAGUGGAAUUUCAGGUGUAGCGGUGAAAUGCGUAGAUAUCAGGAGGAACACCGGUGGUGUAGACGGCUCUCUGGACCGUAACUGACGCUGAGACACGAAAGCGUGGGUAGCAAACAGG
Molecule: ribosomal RNA, 253 nt
Filed under: uncultured bacterium
Lineage: Bacteria
Description: partial 16S ribosomal RNA
Rfam family: Bacterial small subunit ribosomal RNA
Source: RNAcentral